Molecule: RNA transcript, 11092 nt
Organism: Hipposideros armiger (great roundleaf bat)
Lineage: Eukaryota; Metazoa; Chordata; Mammalia; Chiroptera; Hipposideridae
Gene: XKR4
Gene name: XK related 4
Exons: 3
Source: RefSeq, a predicted model, not a curated record
ACACAAUAUACUUAGGUAUUCGAAGCCGACAGAGUGGGGAGAAUGACAGAUGGAGGUUUUACUGGAAAAUGGUGUAUGAGUAUGCAGAUGUGAGUAUGCUGCAUUUGCUAGCCACCUUUCUGGAAAGUGCUCCACAGCUGGUCCUGCAGCUCUGCAUUAUCGUACAGACUCAUAGCUUACAGGCCCUCCAAGGUUUCACAGCGGCAGCCUCCCUUGUGUCUUUGGCUUGGGCCUUGGCCUCUUACCAGAAGGCCCUCCGGGACUCUCGAGAUGACAAAAAGCCCAUCAGCUACAUGGCUGUCGUCAUCCAGUUCUGCUGGCACUUCUUCACCAUCGCUGCCAGGGUCAUCACCUUUGCCCUCUUUGCCUCAGUUUUCCAGCUCUAUUUUGGGAUCUUCAUCGUUCUUCACUGGUGCAUCAUGACCUUCUGGAUUGUCCACUGUGAGACAGAAUUCUGUAUCACCAAAUGGGAAGAGAUCGUGUUCGACAUGGUGGUGGGCAUCAUCUACAUCUUUAGCUGGUUCAACGUCAAGGAAGGCAGGACACGCUGUAGGCUCUUCAUUUACUAUUUUGUGAUCCUUUUGGAAAACACAGCCUUGAGUGCCCUCUGGUACCUCUACAAGGCUCCCCAGAUUGCAGAUGCAUUUGCCAUCCCAGCGCUGUGUGUGGUAUUCAGCAGCUUUGUAACUGGCGUUGUUUUUAUGCUGAUGUAUUAUGCCUUCUUUCACCCUAACGGACCCAAAUUUGGGCAGUCACCAAGUUGUGCUUGUGAGGACCCAGUCACUGCCUUCACUCUGCCUCCAGAAGUGGCCACAAGCACUCUACGGUCCAUCUCCAACAACCGCAGUGUUGUCAGUGACCGUGACCAGAAAUUUGCAGAGAGGGAUGGGUGUGCACCUGUCUUUCAGGUGAGGCCCACAGCCCCAUCCACCCCAUCAUCUCGCCCACCACGAAUUGAAGAAUCUGUCAUUAAAAUUGACCUGUUCAGGAAUAGGUACCCAGCAUGGGAGAGACAUGUUUUAGACCGAAGUCUCCGAAAGGCCAUUUUAGCCUUUGAAUGCUCUCCAUCUCCUCCAAGGCUGCAGUACAAGGAUGAUGCUCUUAUUCAGGAGCGGUUGGAGUAUGAAACCACUUUAUAAAACAAAAGGACUUGGAGGAGCCACAACCUCCAGAUAAAGGGGUGACAACAGGGCUGUGGCAAUAAUGAAACUUCAUCCUAAAGUAGGGCAAUGAGCUGUCAUGCUCUUAGUCUGCACAUUAUCAUGAUUAUUGUCUGACCCUCCAUCAGCUGACUGCCUGCUGCUGGUCUCCUUUCAAAACAGCAGCCCCGAGAGUCUCCUGCUCCACCUGAAGAGAACUUGUCAGCUCAGUAGACUCCUGGUUGCUACCAACUCCUCCUGCAUUGUCUUUCAGUGAAUGCACCAGAGGGUACUAUGAUUAUGGAAAAUGUUGCCUCUGAUCAAUAGGGUUUUGAUGGAAUUAACUGAUCUUUGCAUAAAAAUAUAUCCAGCCAUACACAUACACACACAUACACACAUACACACACACAUACACAUAUACUAACACACACAACACCAGUCUUCUGUAAAAAUAGCUUAGGUGAUUUUCUUCUUGAUGCAAAGUGCUGAUUCCCACAAGAAUAUAAAAACAAAGAGAGAGGCAAUAUAUCCCUCAAGACUCCAGAAAAACAAACAGUACUGCUUAGAAAAAACUCAUAAACCAUUCUCAUUUGGAAACCCAUACCAUGAGUGAAAAGCCUAUCCAGUGGACAGCAAACUCAAGUGUUUACAUGUGUAUUAGAAUUGAUGAAAUGGUUUGUUUUCAACACAUUUCAGGAUUGGUUUUUAUUUAAAGUUUUCAGUUGAGAACAUCUUUUAUGACAGAAAUCCUAUGCAGCACAUGUGUGGAUUUUGGCAAGACCAAGGAGAUCCAUAACUUAGUGAUGUAAAUUAAAUGGUAAUCAUGAUUCAGUAUUCAAUUGCAAAAAUUUAAUACAUACAGGAAGAAGAAAUGGGCGGUGGGGUGGGAAGGCAAAAUGAGCAUCCGAUUUCCCAGCUGUGCAGCUCACGUUGGAAUGUAAAGUCAGGGCGGCAGGAGAGAAUCGCCUGUAACUGGAUGCAUUCAGGUCGUGGAAUGCAUGGUUGCUCUAUGAUCGCAGGCAGGCACCUUUCCAGAACACGCCAUGCCCCAUCUUUCUAGUGCCAAACAUCGUCCAACCACAGGAUUGACAUGGAAGCCCUGAACAACUGAGAAUGAAUGGCGCGAGCCCCACAAAAACAGAAGCUAGAGUGAACACUCAAGUUCUCCGUCGUGUACAGAGUCCCCCAUGACCACCAAUUCAAGGUCAAAGGCUUUUAGAGGCUUUGGGACACUUCUUAGUAAGUAUGAGCAGACAAACGCAGUGAAUAUGCUAUGAGAAAAACCCUUCUGAACUGAGUGAGGGCUUAUCACUAGAUCCAGCUAAGAUUUGUAUUUGAAUCAUUUGUAAAGUCGCACUCUUACAACAAGCUUCUGGUUUUAAAUACCUCCGUACAAGCAAGUAAACAUUCCCCGCUUUCUGUUCCCAGUGUCCUCGGUCAUGGUGCUUUUUGUUGCAUUAAAAGUGCCGGUCAAACUUUGAUAGUAUUUUUUUAUAGUUGGUGCAGAGUGGAAUAACUCAUGGAUUAUUUCAAUAUUUUUGUAAUAAAAAAUAUAGGGUAUACAUAUAGACAUCAUCACUUUUUUUAUAGAUGUGGAAUCGUUUAAAAUACUUUCAGAAUCAUAAUUACUUGGGAUGUCAGAAACUGGUCCACAAAUUCCAUCAGCCUGCCUCAGCAGAUUGAGAACACUUGUUUCUUGCAAGAUCACCUUACUUUGCAGUGUCGGUGCCCCCAGGAACCUGGCCAGGGGUGCUAUCAGAACAUCAGGUGAUGAGAGAAUCAGCUUAACUAGAAAGGGCUUGUCAAGACUGGCCAUUGUUUCCCAGGAAAUCAAAGAUAACCAUCUUGGAACUUGUCAAGCUUUACUGAAGGUGAUUUGCGUUAAUUAAUUCAACAGACCCUUUAAUCUUGCAAAUUCUUGACUUGUAAUAUUGUAGCCAAGCUACUGCAAGGGAAAAUGAAUCAGUUAGUGGAAAGGAGCACUUCGUUCCAUGUCGUGCGGUGAUGUGCCCAGGCCAGAAGAGAAAGACCCCUGUGAGGCAGAGCACUAAUGAAUUCGUGCUACCUGCUUCCUCAUCAUUCAUGCUAUGAAUAUUCAUCCACUUCAUUAGUUUUGGCCAGUAAGCACUGCUUUGAAAAAAAAAAAGGAAAAAAAAGUCAAUGGAUUCCUGGGGGCUUGCAUAGCUCAGAGAAUGGGUACUAGGUCAUAAGACUUACUUUAAAUGGAUACAAAUCUACUUGUGUUUGGAAACGAAAAAAAAAAAUCAUUGUCAUCUGUUUAAUGAUUGAUCUCUCUGAGUACAAUUGCUGCCCUUCAUUUCUUGAGAGUACUGUCGUCAGCACUGUAAUAACCAGUUUAUAAAAACUGAAUUUAUAAUUCCAUUUCAGAGGUAAAAACUGCAUAGAUGUACCGGUAGCUAUUGAAUAAUUUUACUCCUGCCUUCCUAGGUGGUGACAUUGCCAGUUUCGAACUGAGAUUCAUUUGUGUGUGGAAUUGGCUCUCCUGUUGCUUCUCAGACCCUUGCAAAACCUUGGUUGUAAGGUCUAAAAUCACCAAUCUCACAUUCUUAAUGUACUUAAAAGUAAACAGGUAGUCUCAUAAUUAAAAAUUGUGAGUUUUUUUUCCAAUCACUUCUCUGUUUAAAGAAAACUUUGAGCUGCGAGGUAAGAAUGAAUUUACUUCACAUGGAAGUAUAGUUUCAGAGUUUGCGAGGAGUCAGGCAUGCAUACAUUCUUAUCAAGUUUUCUGUCUAACCUUUUGAUAUAACUAUUCUAGGAGUUAACCCCAAAUGAAUGAGUGAAAGUCAUUGGAGUUAUCUAAUAAGCAAUCUAACAGAAAAAUUAGAAGAAGCAGGGAUCAUUUUUCUUGUGUUUCAAAGAUGUUUCUUCUUCCUAAGUGAUCAUCUUGGUGAUUAUCUCCAAGAUGUACCAAGAGCUACUGAGCGACAGUCCCAGUACAGGUGCCAGUAUUGUGCUGCAUCCCCUACACUGGCAAGUCAUUUUUCAAAACUAGCUCUUGGCACAAGCACUGAAAUUUAAUGGUAAAAAGUGGCCUACCACCAUGUGACUUAUUUUCAAUUGCAAGGCAAUGAAAACUAACAAAUCGAAGAAAAUGUUAAUUUCCUGAACUCCAAAGCCAAAAUUGACACAAAGAUACUCUGUAAUGUACAAUGAGUUGGUUGACUGUGGGGACACAGGAGCAAUAAGCAAUCCUCUUAAAGUAAGUUCAUGAACGAGAGUGACUGUGAGUGGUAUUGGGACAUAAGCUUUCAAUUCAUGUAGAGGUCCAGGUGUGGUGACUGAAGAGGAAACUUCUUAGUGGCUCAUCAGUAAUAUUUGCCUUUUUAUAGAGCAGAAGUUGCGGUAGCCCCUGCCAUUUUAUCACUAUGACAAAAGAUGCGUCUGUUUAUGACAGGCCAAGGCAUGACUGAAGUGGAAAGAUAGAGAUGUCAGUGGUUUCAUGUCUGAGACUAACUCUAUCCUUAAGGGAACUUUCCCGCAUGACAGUCCUUCUUGGUCAUUGGGCCCUACGCCGCAAGCUGGCUCUGCAUGCCAAGAGCUUCUGAUGGAUUAUAAAAUGAGAUAUUUUAAAGAAUUUUAAGUACUCUUGCUUGUAGAACAUGAACCAUUGAGUUAUCCCUCAUGUUAACAACAAUGAGAUUCAGGGUUACCAUGGCCUUACUCAUCACCCCAUUGUAAAUAUACCAUGAUAUCACAAGAACCCCUGUGUUCAAAUUCAUUAAACUAGGUUUCAAGUAUUAGCUGAAUUGUUUAAACAUUUUUAGAUCUUGAUUCUGCCAUCACCUAGUCUGUGCAUCUAUCCCCAAAUUAGAAAAAUAUUUCUUGUGGGAAUAAUUUUCAGAAUAAUGGAAGUGAAAAAGAGUGGACAGUUAAGCAAUUUGUCAAUGUAGACAAAACUACUAGGCCACUGAUAGCCCUGAAGCUCUGAUUUUUCCUCAUUACUGAAUUUCUUUACAUUGGGGGCUUUCAACAUCUGAAUUUUCUGGAUGAUUGCUAAACCAUCUUCACUAAACUGCAAUAGACACUAUGUUGUUAUUAAAUAAUAAAGACUGUCCACAUAAAUGCAAAUAUCCCAAUGAAAAGUGAAGAAGUAUGUCACUCAAGGAGCAAAUUUGAUCUUUGUGAUGUCAAACAUCUGGAUAUUUGGGAAAAUCCAGACGUUGAAUCGUGCAGUUUUCAUCUGGUUGUCUGGUAUUGACUAGAGAGACAGAAAAUACUCAGGUGUUAUAGGUAAUAUAAUUUAACUUUCUUGUGCAGUAAUCUAUGGGUAAUGAUAUUCUGCUGCUAAAAAUCUCUUUGUCCUGCAAAGAGAAAUAAAUAAUGCAGAGCAAAUGCUAUUUAAUUUUUAUUUGCUUUCAGCAAACACAUGAAUGGGAGAGGUUUGAGAGGCUGUCCUGGGUGUAUUCAGAUGUUUUUGCACCGCAGACCUCUUUCAGAGUGACAGUCCUGGAGGCCUGCCACUCGAUCCCUUCCUGGCAGCAAACCUUUUAAUUCAGCCCUUUUUUAAUCUUUCAUUAUUUUAUAAUUGCCUCUCUGCUCUUCACAUACUCUUAAUCAUUCACAAAGUUUACUUGACAGAAUUGUCAAAGGAUAUACAAAUUUGUUAACUUUUAUUCUUCAAAUCAGAGUUUUAAUUUUAAGGAUUUCUUAUGCCUUUAAUGGUAAAUACAGUUUAAACUGCUUCAUGUAAUUAUUUCAUGGCAAAUUUCAUGGUGUCUAUAGAAGUAAAAGCUAUUUUUCCCAAAUUAAAAAAAAUACACUUCUUUUGUUUGGUUUGCAUUGUUGAUGUCAUUUUGAUUGCCAAGGACUAACUGGUUAUCACACAUUGGAAUAUUAGUGUUUUCUUUGUAGUCACAGGAAAAAAGAAAAAGAUGACAUCGAAGGGAAAUUCACUUACCGGAAGGAAAGUUUGAGAUAUUCAUACAACUCUUGUAUUUAUGAUUACUUGUGGACGUUUCUUCCUUGUUUCAUCUCAUUCGGCUCUGGAUUGGUGAGCGUGUGUAUUUUCUCAAAUUGUGUGCUUACCUCACUUACUGUUCUGAAGCUGGGCAGAAAAACAGGCAAGCUAUUCAGACCAAUUUUCUUUUAAGUGCGCUUAUGUUGCAGAACUUGCUUCCGGCACUGACAACAAGCAGAUACACAGAGCCCUGGAAGAUAUUCAGCUAUGCAAACGUCAUAAGAGGAUUUCCAGAGAAAAUCUGAAAGUUUGUAGGUUCUUAGGUAGUGUUUUGAUUGUGUCAAAUUCUAUAUUUAGUGACAACUUAGAAUGACUUCAUGGGCAGGCAGUCCCCUUUCUUGUUGGGUCCCUCCACCCAGCAGAUGCAGAAGUUUCCCCAGAAAUCAAAUAGAUACUUCACCUUGUGUACCAAAGGCUUCCAGCCACUGGGUGUCAUCGCUCUGUGCUAAUUGUGUUUUGUAAAGUCUUUCGAGGACAGGCCUUGUUGGCUAGUCACAGUCUUAUAACAGGCUCCAGGAGACAGAGCUGCUACUCCCAAAACCCAUCUGACUUUACUUUUUCCUUGAGAUUUUUACUUCACUAAACCCUUUUCCAAAUCUUUUUACCUUCAUGUUAUUGACAGAAUGUUUAGUUCAAUGUUUAGGUGAAUUUGCAAUAAAGAGGCAAUCAGUGGGCAACUACAAAAACAUUAGGUUCUUGGUUUUUCUUCAGUUAUCUUUUAUUAUGUGAUAAUUGACUGGAACUUACGGUUUACUAAAAAACUAAAAGUCCCUGUGUUGAAUAUAAGGACUGUUUUACAUAUACUUAAAUAUAUUCUAUGACACAAUAUUUUUUUACACUAUGGAAUAUAUUUCUUUCUGGAGACAAAGGCAUAGAGGGGUGUGGUUCAAUGAUGGGAACUCUGGGACUCUGAGCACUCCAGUCCUCAUCCUUGGUCAGUCACAUUAGCCUCAGAAUCUCACCUUACAGCCCAUUUUUCACAUAUGUAAAAGAGAGAUAAUAUUUAUCUACCUACCUCAUAGGGAUGUUGUGAAGGUUGAUUGCAGUUCUCAAAGUAUGCUGACACUUGAUAACUAGUAUUAGCACAAAGGAGAUCUGUGUGUGGCCCUGGAAUAGACUAUGGUGAAGGAGGUGGAGCCAGCUGAGAAACACAACAGCAAUAACUCACCAGACGAGGCAUGUAAUUAUUCUUGAUUGCUUAAUGAAAGUGAAACUUUUUCUUCGAAGGUCUACAUAGAAUUUUGUUUUAAUUAUCAACUUUUUAAUGAGAAAAUUGACUCCUUUCAUACAAACAUUAAGAAGCUUCAUAUAGAAUGACAGUUUUCCUCUUAGAUAAACUAAAUUUUACAAAACAUUUCAUAGAUGUGUCCAGAAAACUUGGCUCCUUCUGAUGAGUAAGGAGGUUGCAUGCAUGCCUGAUCCCAAGCUACAUUUUUCAGAACGCGUGCAUGAUACCAGAGUUCAAUACUAAUUGCCAAGUGGUAUUCUGGAACGCUCACUACCAGGAGGGAACAUUUUUAAUAGAUCCUACUGAAAUUAGAUUUUUGUGUUGUUUACAGUGAGAUCCUCUUUCAGCCCUAACAUGAUAUAUCUCUCCCUUUACAACCCAGUGAAAGAAUGUAAAGCUUUAUUUCUACUUGGAACUCCUGAGUUGAUUAAUUUUUCAGAUUAUAAAUAUGUAUUAAAUAUUUCAAAGAAGUGUUUACACAAGGGCUUCAGCUACACAUAUACAUAUAUGCUUACAUGUACACAGAUAGGAGUACUGCUAAAGGACAAAGGGUGGGAAAAGCACCACAAGAUUAUCCUGGAAAACUUCCCCUCAAAGUAACAUGUUUUCUUUUGCUUUAAUAGCUAGUCCUGGUAAUAACUAGUGCUAAAUAACAUGAUUUGUCAUUUUUGAGACAUGGAGGCAAUAUUGUAUAGUAAGAAUACACCCAUGAACUAUACUAACAAUGCAGAUAAUGUUUUAAUGAUAUGACUUCAUGAAGCAAAGUUGUUGUACAUAAAUAUUAUCAUUCUGCCCUUAUUUAAUAAUUAUAUUCCUUUGCAAAACAAAUGUGCAUGCUCUUGAAAAUAUGAAAUAAGUUUUCAGAAAGUUUAUCUUGAUAAGUGGGUUUAAAAUCAUGUUGUACCUGGAGUUGACAUAAUGUAUACAUUCAACACAAUUUUUCUGGAUUCCAAAAUCUAGUUGGCAGUGGUAUAUCAAAGGCUUAAAAUUUCAGAUUGGUUGAACAUUUCUAAUGCAUGGUAUUAAGCUUUCAGAAGCAUGAAUCUAACCUAGGCAAUUAACCUGAUCCAUUAAAAAAAUUAUGUCAUCAUGCCAGACUUAAGAUAAGUCUUUUUAUUUUUUUAGAUUCAAAAUAUGAGAAUAGUGAGUCAGAAUAAUUUGGAAUUCUCUGAUUUUUUUUUCCAGUUCCUAGCAUCAAUACUUUUACAAUCAAAAGUGUGGCAGAAAAUCCUUAUUGCUAUGUAGGGAAAUAUCCAUGUCCUUCCUUUGUUUUUGCACAAGAAAACCGAAGUUGACUAGAUGCAAGGGCCUGGAAGUAGGAAAAGGCGUGACAAUUUUCAGGUGGACUAGCCGGGAAGAAAUGAGGGCUGUGGACAGAAUAUGUGGUUGUGAGAUUUUACCACAAAAGAGCAAAAACAAAACCUAACAGUGUUAGAGCUGGACAAUUUUUUGAAAUGGUAGAAUCUAAAUUUUAGAAGAAAAAUCAAGGGGAGACAACAUGUUAUUAGACAUAAGCUAUACAUCUAAUUACCGGGGGAAAAGACAUUCGAAUGCCCCAUGUAUUUUACUCUUUUUAAGACUUUCCAGCCCCCAUGAAACUCUCCCGAGUCUUCCCUGAAAAUAAGGGACUCUUAGAAAACUAGUUUUUAGCAAAGAUAAAUGUGAUUACACAGCCGUGAAGCCGUCAUUAUGUAAUCCUCAUGCGUGUGAUGCUUUUUUAAAUGUAGUUGUCAACUUUCAUGACUACUUCCAGUUAAUAUUUUAUCCCAUAAACAAAUGGUUAAAAAAACAAACAAACAUGGAAAAUUCUCUUGCUCAAAAGAAGUGACUCUCUUUUCAUAUCUAGAUGAUAUGAAAUAGCUGAAAAAUGGAGCUUUUGGUCGAUUGCUUAUUGAAGGUCCCAUCUGAAGCCUCUCUUUAGUAAAGAGGCCAGGCAGGAAGAGAGAGGACCUUGGAUGAGAACCUUGCUCUACCAAAUUGUUCCUGCUUUUCUUCUCAGUUACCAGGCAGUUCAGGAAGUAGCCGAGAGAGAGAGAGAGAGAGAGAGAGAGAGAGAGAGAGAGAGAGAGAUGAUGAUGAUGAUGAUGAUGGAGGAUACGCAAAUUUGGUUUUUCCCAUUCUCAGAACAAGGAGAGUAACCAGUGAGCCAGAGGUUCCCUCCCCCUUUAAAGCCAAAUAGAAUAAUGAAUUUAGAGCUAAGACAAAAAUGCUGUACAAGUAAGCACAAAAUCAUCCUUCCUAUUAUUUUCUCAGUUUUUACUAAAUUCUUCUUACAGUUUAGAUCAGAAGUUUCUGUUGAUAAUAACUAAUGCCACUUUAUGUUAUAGCUUCAAUGAGGAAAUGAUGAAAGCAUGAGUUAUAAACAAAAUUGCUGGGGAUACAGACUUCUUUUGUACAGACAUCUUACCAAGCAAGCAAAUUGGAAACAAAUACUAUUACCACUAAUAUUCUGGUUAAAUUAAUAAUAUCUAAUAGGAAAACAGAAGCAUUUUGCUCAGCAUUAUACCACUGUAAAACGUAAACCUGCUUCCAAAUGACAAGGAUUUUUGCUACUGACAUUUGUUCUUCAUUCUCCAGUUAUUUUAAGUAAGUUUCACAUCUAACUACCUCAGCUACUGUUGUUUAAUUUAGAAACAUGAAAUCAUGCACUUUGUAACCAACAAUUUUUUUAUUUACAAUUUCAAAAGGAUACUUGGUGCAAAGCAAUUUUCAAAAAUUUGUAUAUGACAUAAGCAACUCAGCCUCAGAGGUUGUACUUCAUUUUGUUCGUUUGUUUCUAAAUUCAAUUUGGGGUAAAAUCCUCACUUCCACUCAACACCAAGGGAAGCUGCUCUAUAUUUGCUUAAUUUGCCUUAAACAUUUUGUGCUCCUUUCCCUGUUCUGUUUGUUUUUUUUUCGUUUAAAAUCUAUCUCUGAAAAGAAAAUGUAACAGGUGGCAGAUGAACAGCAAACUGAAGAGAAUGGACAAAUCAUUUCUCAGUUCCCUGUUGUCAACUCUCUGCAUGACAUUCUGAUUACGCGGAAUUGCCAUCCCUGUGUUUCUCUCUCCUGUGACCAUUACAGAAAUAAGGUCUGAGAGACCCUGUGUGUGUGUUUAGGGAAUGGUGUAGACAUUUCCCCCAGUACGAGCACAGUGCCUGGACCCGAAUGAUAAUCUUGGCAGUUCUUGUGCUUUUACUUUGUGAACAUUGUACAAAUGUAUUUGGAAUUUUAUUUGAAAUGAAGAAUUAAACUAGUUAUUAAUUUUUUUCCUUCUUGUAAAUAUAUAUAUAUAUAUAUAUAUAUUCAAACUCCAUGUAUCCAAACAUUCCUUUAGCAUUCAGAGUGUAAGAGUGUCUUUAUUGGCUAGAGGCCACUGUCUCUGGGCCACAAUCCCAUGUGCUCUAGUGGAAAGCACAGUAUGUGGAGUAUUUGAUGUACUACAGUACCAUGGUUAUUUUGGUCUGUUAAGUAAGUUGCAAUUUGUGAUGAAAUGAAGUGGAAAGUAGUGCUUCAUAAUGAACAAAUUUCCUUGGUUACAUGAUUUUUCUUGUAAAACUUUUUAAAAAAAAACUUGAAAUUUUAUAUAUUUGGAUUUUGUAGAUUUUUUUUUAUUUUAUUGCAACACAAGGUACCAAAAUCAUUAAAUAAAGUACACUGUGGUCAUUUUAAAAGAAGUCUGAGUCCCUGAUUCUUUCUAAGUCUAGAAAGAGCAGGACACUGGGGGUCUAAGAUCGGAAGAUAGGAGGAGAAGGCAUAUUCAAAAAC